Molecule: long non-coding RNA, 1535 nt
Organism: Entelurus aequoreus (snake pipefish)
Lineage: Eukaryota; Metazoa; Chordata; Actinopteri; Syngnathiformes; Syngnathidae
Exons: 4
Source: RefSeq, a predicted model, not a curated record
UUUAGCUAUAGGAAGCUGAAAUAUGUCGGCAUUUUUAAAUUAUAUGAUAAAAUAGAAACCUAAUUGUUUAACAAGUGUCAGAAUGUUCCCCAAAGAAGACACUUUAAUUACGUGACAUGACGUCAUCACGGCCCGGCUGUUUGACACAACGGUCCUCAUAACAGUUUUUACCCUCUGCGGCGGAGAUACCACCAGGCUCCGUCCACACGCCCCCCGGCGCAGCCGCCCUGGUUCCUCGUGUCGCAGGAAAUGAGGUUCUGUGGCGACAGCUGAGGAGUCAUGUGACCCAUUGACUGGAUGGAGAUUCUGUCUGACGCCACAGCUGAAUCGGAGCCUACCAGCUGUGGAGAACGCCCAGGAGGCUGCGCAGUUGCCCUGGUCCAGCGGUUCGUGGAUCUUGCCCGGCCACUUGUCCGCCGAGUUGAAAGAGACGGGCAAGACGUCGCCCUGGGAAUCCAUGUUCAUCUAAGAAAGGGACCAAGCGAGUCAUGUGUUGCGGUUCGGGGCGCAGGCAGCGACACGCCGAGAGGGAGUCGUGAUGUUUUGGCCGGAAGAAGCUGAGGAAUGCUGGUGGAGAUGCUGGAAGGAAGUGAUGGAUGGUGGCGGUGGGCGAGGGGGCGGACCCCCAGCGCCACCGUGGGCGACAUGUUGCACCUUACGUAAGGCGUCUGGCUGAGCACGCCAACAAUGGGCUGGGCUGCCAGACGUCGUCGCAUACCAUUCUGCCGCCAUAAUUAAGAAAGCCACCUUUGGUCUUUGCUGCUGCGUUCCAAAGCGUCACCGGACAAAAGGGCAAGCUCCGACAUGACGUAUGCGACCGCGGAGGAGAGGGGACGCGGGAUUGCAGCCUGCGGGCGUUUUUCAGAGGGUCUGCCUUUGAAAAAACUCACUUGAAGGCAUCAGAGCUUCUUCAAGAUGAAUUAAAGCUCGGCUUAUGCGGAGGUUCUUUUGUGUCUUUAUCCCCAAAAACCUUUUUUUUUGGACACUGAAUUUGGUUUUUACAUCAAAUUAUGCUGACAAUUUCACAGAAUGAAAACAAAAAUAAAAAUUGUGAGCAAAGUUUGUGUUUAAAAAAUUAGUGUGUAAAAAUUCAGUGUAUAGAAAUUUUGGUAAAAAAUUUUUUUGCAGACAAUUUCAUUAAAUAUACAAUUUGUGAGAAAAAUGUGCGUUCAAAAAUUCCCUGAGUUAAACUUCAGUGUAUAGAAAUUCAGGGGAAAUUUUUUUUGCUGCCGAUUUCUUAAAUAAAAAUUUGUAAGAAAAAUGUGCGUGUUAAAAAAUUCACUGUUGAAAUUCAGUGUAAAAAAAUCAGUGUAUAGAAAAUUUGGUAAAAUAAAAAUUUGCUGAUGAUUUCAUUAAAUUAAAAAAAUGAGAAAAAUAUGUGUUUAAAAUUUCACUUUGUUAAAAUUCAGAGUAAAAAAUGUUUGCUAACGAUUUCAUUAAAUACUAAUUUGUAAGGAAAAUGUGUGUGUUUAAAAAUUCACUUUGUUAAAAUUCAGUGUACAACUUUUUUUUUGCUGACGAUUUCAUUAAGUACA